UAUGACUAAAUACUAAAUCACACACGUAUCGACACGUUCUUCGGGGUGCCUAUUUAGGUCGGAGAUAUGGGAUGCGUGGAGGUCUAAC
Molecule: small RNA, 88 nt
Filed under: Shewanella aquimarina
Lineage: Bacteria; Pseudomonadati; Pseudomonadota; Gammaproteobacteria; Alteromonadales; Shewanellaceae
Also listed under: 2 other names
Description: t44 RNA
Rfam family: t44 RNA
About the family: This family consists of a number of bacterial RNA genes of between 135 and 170 bases in length. The t44 gene is found between the map and rpsB genes in all species in the full alignment apart from Shigella flexneri.
Source: RNAcentral